Molecule: ribosomal RNA, 208 nt
Filed under: uncultured bacterium
Lineage: Bacteria
Description: partial 16S ribosomal RNA
Rfam family: Bacterial small subunit ribosomal RNA
Source: RNAcentral
UACGGAGGGUGCGAGCGUUGUCCGGAAUCACUGGGCGUAAAGGGCGCGUAGGCGGCUGGGGAAGUCGGCGGUGAAAGCCCGGAGCUCAAACUCCGGGUCGGCCGUCGAGACUCCUCGGCUCGAGCUCACUAGAGGCAGAUGGAAUUCCGGGUGUAGCGGUGGAAAUGCGUAGAGAUGUGGAGGAAUACCGAUGGCGAAGGCAGCCUCC